RNAcentral lists this ribosomal RNA (442 nucleotides) under uncultured bacterium. RNAcentral's name for it is "partial 16S ribosomal RNA". It matches the Rfam family "Bacterial small subunit ribosomal RNA", at positions 338 to 795 of the family's 1533-position model. The record is from RNAcentral.
GCUACGGGUGGCAGCAGUGGGGAAUAUUGGGCAAUGGACGCAAGUCUGACCCAGCAACGCCGCGUGAAGGAAGAAGGCUUUCGGGUUGUAAACUUCUUUUAAGGGGGAAGAGGAGAAGACGGUACCCCUUGAAUAAGCCACGGCUAACUACGUGCCAGCAGCCGCGGUAAUACGUAGGUGGCAAGCGUUGUCCGGAUUUACUGGGUGUAAAGGGCGUGCAGCCGGGCCGACAAGUCAGAUGUGAAAGCCGCGGGCUUAACCCGCGAACUGCAUUUGAAACUAUAGGUCUUGAGUGGGCGAGAAGUAUGCGGAAUGCGUGGUGUAGCGGUGAAAUGCAUAGAUAUCACGCAGAACUCCGAUUGCGAAGGCAGCAUACCGGCGCCCAACUGACGCUGAAGCACGAAAGCGUGGGUAUCGAACAGGAUUAGAUACCCGGGUAGUC